CCUACGGGAGGCAGCAGUGAGGAAUAUUGGUCAAUGGCCGGAAGGCUGAACCAGCCAUGCCGCGUGAAGGUCAGUGCCCUAUGGGCGUUAAACUUCUUUUGUGCGGGAGCAAUAAUGGUCACGUGUGGCCAGACGAGAGUACCGUACGAAUAAGCAUCGGCUAACUCCGUGCCAGCAGCCGAGGUAAUACGGGGGAUGCAAGCGUUAUCCGGAUUUAUUGGGUUUAAAGGGUGCGUAGGCUGGGAGGUAAGUCAGCGGGGAAAUGCCCCCGGUCAAGGGGGUGAAGUGCCAUUGAUACUGCCUUGCUGGAAUGCGGAUGCCGUGGGAGGAAUGUGUGGUGUAGCGGUGAAAUGCAUAGAUAUCACACAGAACACCGAUUGCGAAGGCAUCUCACGAAUCCGCGAUUGACGCUGAUGCACGAAAGCGUGGGUAUCAAACAGGAUUAGAUACCCUGGUAGUC
RNAcentral lists this ribosomal RNA (460 nucleotides) under uncultured bacterium. RNAcentral's name for it is "partial 16S ribosomal RNA". It matches the Rfam family "Bacterial small subunit ribosomal RNA", at positions 338 to 795 of the family's 1533-position model. The record is from RNAcentral.